Molecule: ribosomal RNA, 824 nt
Filed under: uncultured bacterium
Lineage: Bacteria
Description: bacterial SSU rRNA
Rfam family: Bacterial small subunit ribosomal RNA
Source: RNAcentral
UGAGCUUGAUCAUGGCUCACAAUGAACGCUGGCGGCGUGCUUUACACAUGCAAGUCGAGCGAGGCGGGUAGCAAUACCCAGUCGAGCGGCGAACGGGUGAGUAACGCGUGGAUUAUCUACCCUGAGGUGGGGGAUAACCCGGCGAAAGCCGGGCUAAUACCGCAUAACAUCGAAAGAUCAAAGGGGGAGCAAUCUCCCGCCAUUGGAGGAGUCCGCGUCCGAUUAGCUAGUUGGUAGGGUAAUGGCCUACCAAGGCGACGAUCGGUAGCCGGCCUGAGAGGGUGAUCGGCCACACUGGAACUGAGACACGGUCCAGACUCCUACGGGAGGCAGCAGUGGGGAAUUUUGCGCAAUGGGCGAAAGCCUGACGCAGCAACGCCGCGUGGAGGAUGACGGUCCUUGGAUCGUAAACUCCUGUCAGCAGGGAAAAAGGGGACCGGGCUCAUACCCCGGUUCAUUGAUUGUACCUGCAGAGGAAGCCCCGGCUAACUCUGUGCCAGCAGCCGCGGUAAUACAGAGGGGGCAAGCGUUAUUCGGAAUUAUUGGGCGUAAAGGGCGCGUAGGCGGCUCGACAAGUGGAAGGUGAAAUCCCUCGGCUUAACCGAGGAACUGCCCUCCAAACUGUUUUGCUUGAGGCCGGGAGAGGUGAGUGGAAUUCCCAGUGUAGCGGUGAAAUGCGUAGAUAUUGGGAGGAACACCAGUGGCGAAGGCGGCUCACUGGACCGGUUCUGACGCUGAGGCGCGAAAGCGUGGGGAGCAAACGGGAUUAGAUACCCCGGUAGUCCACGCCGUAAACGAUGAAUGCUUGGUGUAGCGGGUAUCGA